UGACGUUACCGACAGAAAAGCACCGGCUAACUGUGCCAGCAGCCGCGGUAAUACGAAGGGUGCAAGCGUUAAUCGGAAUUACUGGGCGUAAAGCGCGCUAGGUGGAAUUCAGUAAGUUGGAAGUGAAUUAUCCCCGGGCUCAACCUGGGAACUGCUUUAAAACUGCUGAGCUAGAGCCUACGGUAGAGGGUGGUGGAAUUUCCUGUGUAGCGGUGAAAGCGUAGAUAUAGGAAGGAACACAGUGGCGAAGGCGACCACCUGGACUGAUACUGACACUGAGUGCGAAAGCGUGGGGAGCAAACAGGAUUAGAUACCCUGGUAUCCACGCCGUAAACGAUGUCAACUAGCCGUUGGGAGUCUUGACUCUUAGUGGCGCAGCUAACGCAUUAAGUUGACCGC
RNAcentral lists this ribosomal RNA (399 nucleotides) under uncultured Pseudomonas sp. Its description in RNAcentral is "bacterial SSU rRNA". It matches the Rfam family "Bacterial small subunit ribosomal RNA", at positions 470 to 872 of the family's 1533-position model. Lineage: Bacteria; Pseudomonadati; Pseudomonadota; Gammaproteobacteria; Pseudomonadales; Pseudomonadaceae. The record is from RNAcentral.